RNAcentral lists this long non-coding RNA (231 nucleotides) under Elaeis guineensis (African oil palm). Its description in RNAcentral is "long non-coding RNA (EGUI_LNC045360)". The record is from RNAcentral. Lineage: Eukaryota; Viridiplantae; Streptophyta; Magnoliopsida; Arecales; Arecaceae.
UGUCCAAAAGUUGGAUAAAAUUCUUACAUCUCUAUUGUAGAAAUUUGAUGUAUGGAUUUUAAGAAGAAAAGAGAAGAAAGGGUUCUUUUCAUGAUCUCUAGCAUAGAGAUCAAGAUUCUCCUACUUCUUCUUGUUCUCUAAGAGUGUCUUGAGAGAAAAAAAAUUUUAACUAUUAAGAUGCAAUCUCUGCAAGGGAGCUAGCACCCUGGUGAGAUCAAAAGGCUUCUGAUC